AUAUAUAGAUUGCCAAAUUGUAAAUGAAAGGCAGGCUGCCAAACAAAAACAUAAGUUAAUAAAAACCCUUUCAAAAACCUCUCUCAACAAAAGAUAUAAACUAAGUUAAAAAUGGAGAAAUUCGAAAUCAAGUCAGAUAUAUUAGAUAGCAUGGAAAAUCAAGAGAGAAAGAUGCACAGAUUGAACCAGCAGAGCUAAUGAGUUCUAUAGAAAACAAUUAUGACUCCCUCUCAACAAAAAGUUCUCCUGAGAUGAAGCAUUGACGAAGUUAAAUGGAUAGAUUGGUUUCUGCAGAAAAAAAGAGAGGCACAAUUACUACAACGUCGAACAAACCGUCAGGAGCUAAAAAGAAAUGCUAUAUAUGCAACAACAGCUUUUCAUGUGCAAGAUCAUCCUGCUGCAAUUAUAGAUUGCUGUUGCUCCACCUCGCAGAAUCCUCAUCAAAUUUAUAUUUGGGUCAGAUUUAGUUGCACAUUUUUUUGUCGCAAAAGUUUAGAAAGAAUUGUUAUUCAAUUAACUGAUGUAGUACAUAGGACAAUAAAAUGAAUCUUUUCAUUGUGUGUACGUUUUAGUAUUUAUUGUCAGCCAGAGAUAGCAUUCAGUAAUUAUGCACUUUGCUCUACACUUUUUGACCUGUGCGGCACUUAACAACGUUUAGCUUGAA
Molecule: long non-coding RNA, 664 nt
Organism: Solanum lycopersicum (tomato)
Lineage: Eukaryota; Viridiplantae; Streptophyta; Magnoliopsida; Solanales; Solanaceae
Source: RefSeq, a predicted model, not a curated record